RNAcentral lists this transfer RNA (62 nucleotides) under Gesiella jameensis. RNAcentral's name for it is "tRNA-Cys". The record is from RNAcentral. Lineage: Eukaryota; Metazoa; Annelida; Polychaeta; Phyllodocida; Polynoidae.
AGCCUUAUAGUUGAAUUACAACGUUAAAUUGCAAAUUUAAAAGUGUUUUAGUACUAAGACUU